Camellia sinensis is the source of this 558-nucleotide long non-coding RNA. RefSeq lists it as uncharacterized. Lineage: Eukaryota; Viridiplantae; Streptophyta; Magnoliopsida; Ericales; Theaceae. The record is from RefSeq and is a predicted model, not a curated record.
UUUGCUGAACUCUCUCUCCCUCUCAACGUCUCCCUCUCUCUGUCUCUCCCUGUCUCUCUCUAUCUCUCUCUCUUUCCAUGUUCAUCAUUUUUACUCAAGUUUCAAGCUUGAAAUGGGAGUCUUUAGAGUGAAAUUUUGUAAAUAAAGGUUGGAGAGCUCGUCGUGAUCUUCGCAAUGGUAGUCUCGGAUUCAUGAUCGGGUAAGAUUUGCCUUCCAGGUCUGUUUUUCUUCAUUAUUUGAGGGAAUGUUUUUCGGAUUUGAAGAUCAAACAAUAGAUUUUAUCAUUUCACAAGUGUAAUGUAGUGAUGGAUUGUACUAUUUCACUUGUUGUUUAGCCAAGUGCUAGACAAUAGCGUGAAUGGACUUUCGGGAAGCAAGAGCUUCUUUAUUAUGUUUUGUUGGGUGUAUGUUUGUAUUUGUAAAGCCAAUGGUUUAAAAUGUAAUGAACGAGACUCAAUUUGUGUAACCCAGCAAUGACUUGGAAAGAUGUAACCCUACAUGACAUUUAAUUGGUUGUUAAGCAGUAGACUCUGAUGUAUGAAAGUAUGUUAUUUCUCA